RNAcentral lists this ribosomal RNA (1840 nucleotides) under Shigella flexneri. RNAcentral's name for it is "partial 23S ribosomal RNA". It matches the Rfam family "Bacterial large subunit ribosomal RNA", at positions 1118 to 2925 of the family's 2925-position model. Lineage: Bacteria; Pseudomonadati; Pseudomonadota; Gammaproteobacteria; Enterobacterales; Enterobacteriaceae. The record is from RNAcentral.
AUCAUUUAAAGAAAGCGUAAUAGCUCACUGGUCGAGUCGGCCUGCGCGGAAGAUGUAACGGGGCUAAACCAUGCACCGAAGCUGCGGCAGCGACGCUUAUGCGUUGUUGGGUAGGGGAGCGUUCUGUAAGCCUGUGAAGGUGUGCUGUGAGGUAUGCUGGAGGUAUCAGAAGUGCGAAUGCUGACAUAAGUAACGAUAAAGCGGGUGAAAAGCCCGCUCGCCGGAAGACCAAGGGUUCCUGUCCAACGUUAAUCGGGGCAGGGUGAGUCGACCCCUAAGGCGAGGCCGAAAGGCGUAGUCGAUGGGAAACAGGUUAAUAUUCCUGUACUUGGUGUUACUGCGAAGGGGGGACGGAGAAGGCUAUGUUGGCCGGGCGACGGUUGUCCCGGUUUAAGCGUGUAGGCUGGUUUUCCAGGCAAAUCCGGAAAAUCAAGGCCGAGGCGUGAUGACGAGGCACUACGGUGCUGAAGCAACAAAUGCCCUGCUUCCAGGAAAAGCCUCUAAGCAUCAGGUAACAUCAAAUCGUACCCCAAACCGACACAGGUGGUCAGGUAGAGAAUACCAAGGCGCUUGAGAGAACUCGGGUGAAGGAACUAGGCAAAAUGGUGCCGUAACUUCGGGAGAAGGCACGCUGAUACGUAGGUGAAGCGACUUGCUCGUGGAGCUGAAAUCAGUCGAAGAUACCAGCUGGCUGCAACUGUUUAUUAAAAACACAGCACUGUGCAAACACGAAAGUGGACGUAUACGGUGUGACGCCUGCCCGGUGCCGGAAGGUUAAUUGAUGGGGUUAGCGCAAGCGAAGCUCUUGAUCGAAGCCCCGGUAAACGGCGGCCGUAACUAUAACGGUCCUAAGGUAGCGAAAUUCCUUGUCGGGUAAGUUCCGACCUGCACGAAUGGCGUAAUGAUGGCCAGGCUGUCUCCACCCGAGACUCAGUGAAAUUGAACUCGCUGUGAAGAUGCAGUGUACCCGCGGCAAGACGGAAAGACCCCGUGAACCUUUACUAUAGCUUGACACUGAACAUUGAGCCUUGAUGUGUAGGAUAGGUGGGAGGCUUUGAAGUGUGGACGCCAGUCUGCAUGGAGCCGACCUUGAAAUACCACCCUUUAAUGUUUGAUGUUCUAACGUGGACCCGUGAUCCGGGUUGCGGACAGUGUCUGGUGGGUAGUUUGACUGGGGCGGUCUCCUCCUAAAGAGUAACGGAGGAGCACGAAGGUUGGCUAAUCCUGGUCGGACAUCAGGAGGUUAGUGCAAUGGCAUAAGCCAGCUUGACUGCGAGCGUGACGGCGCGAGCAGGUGCGAAAGCAGGUCAUAGUGAUCCGGUGGUUCUGAAUGGAAGGGCCAUCGCUCAACGGAUAAAAGGUACUCCGGGGAUAACAGGCUGAUACCGCCCAAGAGUUCAUAUCGACGGCGGUGUUUGGCACCUCGAUGUCGGCUCAUCACAUCCUGGGGCUGAAGUAGGUCCCAAGGGUAUGGCUGUUCGCCAUUUAAAGUGGUACGCGAGCUGGGUUUAGAACGUCGUGAGACAGUUCGGUCCCUAUCUGCCGUGGGCGCUGGAGAACUGAGGGGGGCUGCUCCUAGUACGAGAGGACCGGAGUGGACGCAUCACUGGUGUUCGGGUUGUCAUGCCAAUGGCACUGCCCGGUAGCUAAAUGCGGAAGAGAUAAGUGCUGAAAGCAUCUAAGCACGAAACUUGCCCCGAGAUGAGUUCUCCCUGACCCUUUAAGGGUCCUGAAGGAACGUUGAAGACGACGACGUUGAUAGGCCGGGUGUGUAAGCGCAGCGAUGCGUUGAGCUAACCGGUACUAAUGAACCGUGAGGCUUAACCUUACAACGCCGAAG